Molecule: ribosomal RNA, 253 nt
Filed under: uncultured bacterium
Lineage: Bacteria
Description: partial 16S ribosomal RNA
Rfam family: Bacterial small subunit ribosomal RNA
Source: RNAcentral
UACGGGGGGUGCGAGCGUUGUCCGGAUUCACUGGGCGUAAAGGGCGCGUAGGCGGCUGGGUCAGUCGGGCCUGUAAGUGCGGGGCUCAACCCCGUGAUGGGCUCGGGACGGCCCGGCUGGGGCGCGGUCGAGGGAGACGGAAUGCCGGGUGUAGUGGUGAAAUGCGUAGAGAUCCGGCGGAACACCGGUGGUGAAGACGGUCUCCUGGGCCGAGGGCCGACGCUGAGGCGCGAGAGCGUGGGGAGCGAACCGG